UGGAUCGUCGCGCGGAUCUUCAGAGAUUAGAGUUUGAUCAUGGCUCAGAUUGAACGCUGGCGGCAUGCCUUACACAUGCAAGUCGAACGGCAGCACGGGAGCAAUCCUGGUGGCGAGUGGCGAACGGGUGAGUAAUGUAUCGGAACGUACCUUUCAGUGGGGGAUAACGUAGCGAAAGUUACGCUAAUACCGCAUAUUCUGUGAGCAGGAAAGCAGGGGAUCGCAAGACCUUGCGCUGAUUGAGCGGCCGAUAUCAGAUUAGCUAGUUGGUGAGGUAAAGGCUCACCAAGGCGACGAUCUGUAGCGGGUCUGAGAGGAUGAUCCGCCACACUGGAACUGAGACACGGUCCAGACUCCUACGGGAGGCAGCAGUGGGGAAUUUUGGACAAUGGGCGCAAGCCUGAUCCAGCCAUGCCGCGUGAGUGAAGAAGGCCUUCGGGUUGUAAAGCUCUUUCAGCCGGGAAGAAAACGCAUGGGUUAAUACCCUGUGUGGAUGACGGUACCGGAAUAAGAAGCACCGGCUAACUACGUGCCAGCAGCCGCGGUAAUACGUAGGGUGCGAGCGUUAAUCGGAAUUACUGGGCGUAAAGCGUGCGCAGGCGGUUUGUUAAGAUAGGCGUGAAAUCUCCGGGCUCAACCUGGGAACUGCGUUUAUGACUGGCAGGCUAGAGUAUGGCAGAGGGGGGUGGAAUUCCACGUGUAGCAGUGAAAUGCGUAGAGAUGUGGAGGAACACCGAUGGCGAAGGCAGCCCCCUGGGCCAAUACUGACGCUCAUGCACGAAAGCGUGGGUAGCAAACAGGAUUAGAUACCCUGGUAGUCCACGCCCUAAACGAUGUCAACUAGGUGUUGGGAGGGUAAAACCUUUUAGUACCGGAGCUAACGCGUGAAGUUGACCGCCUGGGGAGUACGGCCGCAAGGUUAAAACUCAAAGGAAUUGACGGGGACCCGCACAAGCGGUGGAUGAUGUGGAUUAAUUCGAUGCAACGCGAAAAACCUUACCUACCCUUGACAUGUCCGGAAGCCCUUAGAGAUUUGGGUGUGCUCGAAAGAGAGCCGGAACACAGGUGCUU
This 1071-nucleotide ribosomal RNA is filed under the name uncultured bacterium. RNAcentral's name for it is "bacterial SSU rRNA". It matches the Rfam family "Bacterial small subunit ribosomal RNA", at positions 1 to 1043 of the family's 1533-position model. The record is from RNAcentral.